CUCCUACGGGAGGCAGCAGUGGGGAAUAUUGCGCAAUGGGCGAAAGCUUGACGCAGCAACGCCGCGUGAGUGAUGAAGGCCUUCGGGUCGUAAAGCUCUGUCGGGAGGGGCGAACACCCGCUGAGAACAAUACCUCAGCGGUUUGACGGUACCUCCAAAGGAAGCACCGGCUAACUCCGUGCCAGCAGCCGCGGUAAUACGGAGGGUGCAAGCGUUGUUCGGAAUUACUGGGCGUAAAGCGCGUGUAGGCGGACUUGGAAGUCGGGUGUGAAAGCCCCGGGCUUAGCUCGGGAAGUGCGCUCGAAACCACAAGUCUUGAGGUCCGGAGGGGAUCGGGGAAUUCCUGGUGUAGAGGUGAAAUUCGUAGAUAUCAGGAGGAACACCGGCGGCGAAGGCGCCGAUCUGGACGGAUUCUGACGCUGAGACGCGAAAGCGUGGGUAGCAAACAGGAUUAGAUACCCUGGUAGUCCACGCCGUAAACGAUGUGCACUAGGUGUCGGGGGUAUUGACCCCUCCGGUGCCGACGCUAACGCAUUAAGUGCACCGCCUGGGAAGUACGGCCGCAAGGUUGAAACUUAAAGGAAUUGACG
RNAcentral lists this ribosomal RNA (590 nucleotides) under uncultured Geobacteraceae bacterium. Its description in RNAcentral is "bacterial SSU rRNA". It matches the Rfam family "Bacterial small subunit ribosomal RNA", at positions 336 to 915 of the family's 1533-position model. Lineage: Bacteria; Pseudomonadati; Thermodesulfobacteriota; Desulfuromonadia; Geobacterales; Geobacteraceae. The record is from RNAcentral.